RNAcentral lists this ribosomal RNA (257 nucleotides) under uncultured bacterium. RNAcentral's name for it is "partial 16S ribosomal RNA". It matches the Rfam family "Bacterial small subunit ribosomal RNA", at positions 793 to 1055 of the family's 1533-position model. The record is from RNAcentral.
GUCCACGCCGUAAACGAUGGAUACUAGCUGUUCGGUUGUAAGACUGAGUGGCUAAGCGAAAGUUAUAAGUAUCCCACCUGGGGAGUACGGGCGCAAGCCUGAAACUCAAAGGAAUUGACGGGGGCCCGCACAAGCGGUGGAGCAUGUGGUUUAAUUCGAUGAUACGCGAGGAACCUUACCAGGGCUUAAAUGUAGUUUGACCGAUUUGGAAACAGAUCUUUCGCAAGACAAAUUACAAGGUGCUGCAUGGUUGUCGU